RNAcentral lists this ribosomal RNA (253 nucleotides) under uncultured bacterium. RNAcentral describes it as "partial 16S ribosomal RNA". It matches the Rfam family "Archaeal small subunit ribosomal RNA", at positions 474 to 727 of the family's 1478-position model. The record is from RNAcentral.
UACCAGCACCCCGAGUGGUCGGGACGAUUAUUGGGCCUAAAGCAUCCGUAGCCGGUUCUACAAGUCUUCCGUUAAAUCCACCUGCUUAACAGAUGGGCUGCGGAGGAUACUAUAAGACUAGGAGGCAGGAGAGGCAAGCGGUACUCAGUGGGUAGGGGUAAAAUCCGUUGAUCCAUUGAAGACCACCAGUGGCGAAGGCGGCUUGCCAGAAUGCGCUAGACGGUGAGGGAUGAAAGCUGGGGGAGCAAACCGG